RNA transcript from Setaria italica (foxtail millet), 4728 nucleotides. It is a transcript of the gene named PTI1-like tyrosine-protein kinase At3g15890, with no coding region annotated. The transcript has 7 exons. Lineage: Eukaryota; Viridiplantae; Streptophyta; Magnoliopsida; Poales; Poaceae. The record is from RefSeq and is a predicted model, not a curated record.
GUUACUCAUCCGCCGCCUCCCCACCCCGUCGCCGCCCAUCCAUCCCGCCGGCGGCCAGAGGACCGAGCAGCUGCCUGCCCCCACCUCAUCUCCGGCUUUUUUUUCCCGCGGAACCCUACGCGCCGCCGCCCCCCCCGUCAUCCAAGCCUGCUACCGCGCGCCCCUUUUUCCUCGCCUGUGCCAAGCCCGCGCCCUCGCGCGCGCCUCCUCCUCGCCGCCUGCCACGCCGACACCCUGCUCCCCUCCUCCUCCUCAGCGGAGGCCCGCGCGCCGCCAUUGCCUGCCUGCGCGCUCGUACACCUCACGCCGCGGCUGCCGAUCGCCUCCGCCGCCGCCGCGUUUGAUGUCAACAAGGCUCCUGCCCCGCAUCACCCCGCUCCCGCGCCGCCGCCCCAACCCGAACUACCCGCCCGUCACCCCGGCCCUUGCGGCCUCGCUCGCGCGAGUCCUCGCCGUCGGGCACCCGCUGUUCCGUGUGCCAGCGAUUGUGCAGCGUCAUCGUCGAAGGGCAGGGUUUCUAAAAUUUUCCAUUCCAUCCCCAAGAUCUCAUUUUCACUGGCUGCUCUGUAAAAAUCAUCCCAAUUGUAGUUCAUAGGCAGAGGUUAGGCUGGCAUCGGCAGAUGUAUUCCAGCACAUGACACAAUUGAUGAGUAAUCCCCUCCAGAGAUGCUAGCCAUUAUCCUUGUUUGACUGGAGAGUUUGAUGUAAUCUGGAAGGUGUGACCCAUUAUCUCUCAGGUGGUCCUUUCCAUCAACUUGGCAAAUAAUAUUUCUCCAUGAAGUGUAGUCUAUGCACAGCUCAUUCCUGCUUCUGCUGGUACUGUCAAUGUAAGGAGGGGAUCGGCUUCCCUCGUCUAUGCACCGGGCAGUCCCAGGGUUCCUGCGGCGAGCCCAUGCAAUCAGGAGCUACCCCCCAGUGCUGCGUCUUUCCUCUCAGGCUUGUUGCUUGAACAGCUCAGAUAAUGAGGAGCCCGGACGGAAUUCUGCUUACAUUGACUAUAGAAGCCAGUGUCUCCUUCCCUCCAUCACGCUAGCAGUGCGGACUGCGAACUGGGAUGCUGCCAGAAAUAUAAGCUUCAGGGAGUGUGUGAGGUUAUACGGGCUAUCUCAAUCAAUUGGUUUGUUUGCAUUGCUUGUGCAGCUGUUCUUACCGUGGAGAAUCAGAGAGAUCCGGUGCUUGAUUCAGAGCAUUGUUGAUUACUGUGAAAAUGCUGGCCAGGAGUUGUUUGAGUUGGCUCCUAUUUUGGUCAGCAGAUUGGGUGGGUCAAUGACGUUGUUGCAAGUUUAUGCUGCAGUUAUCCGGAUUUUUGUAGAGUUGUCAAUGUUUGAGGACGCUCUUCUCACUUACAUUGAGGCCAGGAAGGUUGGUGCUGAGCUGCGUUUGUGCAACUUCUUGCUGAAGUGUUUAGUCAAGGGGAAUCAGAUUGUGUAUGCAAGGAGUUUAUUUGAUGACAUGAAGAGCUCUGGUCCUUCACCAAAUGUCUACUCUUAUUCAGUUUUGAUGAGUAUGUAUACACAUGGAGAGAGGUUGUGCUUAGAGGAAGCUUUUGAGCUUCUUCGUGAAAUGGAAAUGAAUGGUGUGAGACCGAAUGCUGCAACCUAUGGAACUUACCUCUAUGGGCUUUGCCGUUCCAGACAGUUAACGUCUGCAUGGGACUUUCUUCAAAAUCUUUGUCAGAGAGGGUGCCCUUGCAACACUUAUUGUUUUAAUGCAGUGAUUCAUGGUUUCUGUAGUGAGGGUCAGGUCCACAAAGCCAUAGAAGUGUUUAAUGGGAUGAAGAAAUGUGGGUUUCUCCCAGAUGUCCACAGCUAUAGCAUAUUAGUUGAUGGGUUAUGCAAACAAGGGGAACUAUUGAAAGGUUAUGACAUGCUUGAUGAAAUGGCAAGAAAUGGAAUCAGUCCUAACCAUGUAAGUUAUAGUUCACUUUUGCAUGGUCUUUGCAAGACUGGAAAUGUUGAAUUUGCGUUUGAGAUUUUCAAGAGGCUUAAAGACCAAGGUUUCAAGCAUGACCAGAUAAUGUACAGCAUCCUUUUCCAUGGCUGCUGCCAACAUUUACAUCUAGAUAUUGUCAAUGGCCUUUGGGAUGACAUGAUUCAUCAUGAUUUUGUUCUAGAUGUUUAUGAUUAUACCAAUCGGAUCUAUGCAUUAUGUAGACAUCGAUGCCUUAUAGAAGCAUUGGAAGUAUUUGAACUCAUGCUUGAGAAUGGGAUAACUCCCAACAUUGUGACAUGCACCAUCCUUGUUGACAGCUUUAGCAAAGAAGGGCUGAUUGGUGAGGCCUUCCUAUUCCUGGAUAAAGUACAUCAGUCAUUGGCAAUUGCCCCCAAUCUUUACACAUACAAAGCUAUUAUCAACGGCCUUUGUAAGAUCAACAAAUCGAAUGACGUGUGGGAACUUUUUGCAGACAUGAUAAAAAGGGGAUACGUUCCUGAUGCUAUCCUCUACAGUAUUAUUAUUGAUGGUUUUGUGAAAGCUUUGGAGUUGCAGGAGGCUUUCAGGCUGUAUCAUAAAAUGUUGGAUGAAGGGAUAAAACCUACUAUUUUUACAUAUACUAGCCUCCUAAAUGGGCUGUGCCAUGAUGAUGGACUUCCUAGAUUUAGGAAAUUGAUGAGGGAUAUGAUUGGGGAGGACCUGGUACUUGACAAGAUUUUGUGCACAUCUAUUAUUGCGCACUAUUGUAGAUGUUCAAAUAUGAAGGCCGCCAUGGAAAUGUACAAAAAAAUGGAAAGCUCCGGUUUAUCACCAGAUGCUUUUGUAUAUACUUGCCUAAUUAGUGGCUUCAGUAAAGUUCGUGCAAUGGAUGGUGCACUUUUGAUGAUGGAAGAAAUGGAAAAAAGGAAUAUUAAGCCUACUGUAGUAACCUAUACAGCUCUCAUCGUUGGAUACCUUAAAACAGGGGAUGAGAAACAAGCUAAAAAGAUGUACAGAAGUAUGUGUGAGGCAAGCAUUGAUCCGGAUGACAAGCUGAGUUGUAUAUUGGGCGUUGGCAAUGACGGGGGUGACUGAUUUUUAUUCUCGGAAAGAAAAGGAUGCAACAUAGAUUUUCAGAUGGACCUCUAUUAACUUGACCAAGGGACGGCUCUGUGAUGGUGAUGAGCUCACCUAGUGUUGAACAAUAUUGGCUGCAUUUGUUUCCUCAGCUUCCGGACUGCAUCAGAUGAACGAGGAAUAGAAAGAAGUAACCUGAAAGUGGCAGUUUAAUCCUUGGACAACACCUGGAGGGUGUUAUCAUUACAGGUCUGACGAAGGGAGCGGAUCAUUGAGGUGGGUGUUCUCGUUGAGGGAGCUUCGAUUGGCAACAAACAUCUUCAAUUAUGAUAACAAGAUUUGAGAAGGGCCUCUUGGGAGUGUGUAUUGGGGACAAGUUUGGGAUGGCUCUCAGAUUGCUGUCAAGAGGUUAAAGAAUACAAAGAAUGGCACAUAAGUGGAAUUUGCUUCAGAAGUCAAGAUCUUGGGAAGAAUAAGACACAUAAACCUCCUGAGUUUCCGUGGAUAUUGUGCGGAUGGACCUGAACGCAUGCUGGUGUAUGACUAUAUGGCAAACUCAGCGGAGUGUCUCCUUGAUUGGCGGAGGAGAGCAUCUAUUGCCAUCGGUGCUGCUCGGGCUCUCUUGUAUCUUCAUGAACAUGCAACACCUCAGAUAAUCUAUGGGAGCAUCAAGGUCACCAAUGUGUUGCUGGAUUCAGACUUCCAGGCACAUGUUCAACGACAAUAUCCAACCUGCUAUGAUUAUUGGUGUUGGUAUAUAUAUGGUCUGAAUCCUGGUUGAUUAUGGAUGCGGUAAUUUAGAGGGUAUAUGCCUGCUAAUUUUUUAAAACAUGAAACUACGAGACUGCUUAUUUAUGGAGAGACAGUGUCCAUGUGAUCCAGUUCAGUAUUAGAUAUAACUUAAGUAAUUUGGUCAAAUGAAAUUUAGCAAUGGACAAGCCCCGAGGGGGUGUUCAUUUUUUAUUCUACGUAUACACAUGAAAUGUUUCUAUGUUAUGAUUAAGACAUAUACUAUAUGCUUAGUAUUUUAGACAUCCAGAAAUAACGUUUACUAAUUAUGCCUCCGUGGAUAUUUUUAUAUGCACCAAGUUAAAGUAAAAUCUAGAAACUUGAAAGAUUUCCACGAUACCGGGAGAAUGUCUGUUUACACGAUUCUAUUAUAACAUUAUAACCUAGAUUACCUCCUUACUGUUGUUUAGUUUCAGCUUAAAUAACAUUGGCUAGGUCAUUACAUUUUGUUUCUGGUAAGCUAGUGACCGAUUUUGUAGAUGCACACAUGGUCGGAAUCCAUUUACACUUUGUUUCUGGUAAACUGGUGACCAAUUUUGUAGAUGCACACUUGGUCGGAAUCCAUGUUGCUUGCUGUUGACAUAUAAUUUGAAAUGUUCUCUUUGUCUGUCCCAGGUGUGAUUGAUCAAAUGUCAAAGCAAGUAUCUUAUGUACAGAAGUUCUAUGGAGAGAAGUUCAAUAGCCCAUUGGAGAUCAGGCAUCUCCCAUUAUUUAUUUGAUAAAAGAGUAAGCUUUAUUUUGUAAAUAGAAAAUGCAAUGGAAAGGCCAUGUAAUGUGAUAAAUUGUGUUUGAAUCAGUUUGUUGGUCUGUGAUUUAAAUCCACCGACUGGAUUGAACACUAUAAACUGUGAGCAAAUGUUGUCUUGUUAUUGUAACUUCUAUUAUAAAUAUUAUCUGUUGUAUUUAUGAGUAUGCUAUUCGGUUAUGUUAUGCGUUCUCUAUUGUUUUACA